GACGAACGCUGGCGGCGUGCCUAAUACAUGCAAGUCGAGCGAUGAAGAUCGGUGCUCGCACCAAUUUGAAGAGCAGCGAACGGGUGAGUAACGCGUGGGGAAUCUGCCAUUGAGCGGGGGACAACAUUUGGUAACGAAUGCUAAUACCGCAUAACAACUUUAAACAUAAGUUUUAAGUUUGAAUGAUGCAUUUGCAUCACUCAAAGAUGAUCCCGCGUUGUAUUGGCUAGUUGGUGAGGUAAAGGCUCACCAAGGCGAUGAUACACAGCCGACCUGAGAGGGGGGUCGGCCACAUUGGGAGGGGGACACGGCCCAAAGUCCUGCGGGAGGCCGCAGGAGGGAACCGGGGGCAAUGGAGGAAAGUAUGACCGAGUAAGGCCGAGGGAGGGGAGAAGGGUCUCGGAUGGGGAAAAUCGGUUGGUGGAGAAGAACGUUGGUGGGUGUGGAAAGCGCAUUAAGUGACGGUACCUACAGAGAAAGGGACGGCUAACUACGUG
This 497-nucleotide ribosomal RNA is filed under the name uncultured bacterium. Its description in RNAcentral is "partial 16S ribosomal RNA". It matches the Rfam family "Bacterial small subunit ribosomal RNA", at positions 28 to 507 of the family's 1533-position model. The record is from RNAcentral.